AGCAGCCGCGGUAAUUCCAGCUCCAAUAGCGUAUAUUAAAGUUGUUGCAGUUAAAAAGCUCGUAGUUGAAUUUCGGGAUCAAUUUAUUGGUCGUGCUAUUGUACGUACUGGUAUUAUUGAUUCCUACCUUCUGACGAACCAUGAUGUCAUUAAUUUGGUGUCUUGGGGAAUCAGGACUGUUACUUUGAAAAAAUUAGAGUGUUUAAAAGCAGGCUCACGCUUGAAUACAUUAGCAUGGAAUAACGAAAUAGGACGUUUGAUUCUAUUUUGUUGGUUUCUAGGAUCGACGUAAUGAUUAAUAGGGAUAGUUGGGGGCAUUAGUAUUCAAUUGUCAGAGGUGAAAUUCUUGGAUUUAUUGAAGACUAACUACUGCGAAAGCAUUUGCCAAGGAUGUUUUCAUUAAUCAAGAACGAAAGUUAGGGGAUCGAAGACGAUCAGAUACCGUCGUAG
RNAcentral lists this ribosomal RNA (450 nucleotides) under uncultured Glomus. RNAcentral describes it as "SSU rRNA". It matches the Rfam family "Eukaryotic small subunit ribosomal RNA", at positions 569 to 1023 of the family's 1831-position model. The record is from RNAcentral. Lineage: Eukaryota; Fungi; Glomeromycota; Glomeromycetes; Glomerales; Glomeraceae.